CAGAUUGACACGCUACAAGAGAAAAUCCAGACCAUAUCUCGGAGAGCCUCUGCUGCUGAGCAUGCUCUGGCCAUGGAGAAGAAUGAGGCAGCGCUACUCCGCCAGAGGAUUUUUCAACUAACCUCAAAGAAGCUGAAAAUAGGAAAACCUGGGUUCCUGAUCAAGACCAUCCCCAAGCCCCUGAAAACAACCAAGACCAACAAACCCUUCUUGAAAACCUGCAAAGUUCUGAAAGCUUUCAAAGCACUAAUGAAGAUAUGAAGGCAAUGCAUACAAUUGUACAUUUGGUGCAAUUAUUCUCAGGACACGGGGUGAGGCAGAGUACAAUAAAUAAAUUCAGAUGCCUUAUUCCAUCAAACAACUGCAAGAAGUCUUCUUUAAAAUCAACCAAGCUAAAUUGGACACGUGUUUUAUGUCAUUUAUAUGGUAGGUCUCAUUAGAUAUCAUCCAACUCUUUAAAAAUGCCUUUGUAUGCAGAUUUCUGCUGUUUCCAUUAGGUAAGAUACAACUCCAUGGGGCUUACCUGCCAAGACCUCCAUGGAAGCCACAUAUCCCAUCAAUUACCAAAGCCAAAUGGUAGGCCUAUGAUGAAGUCUAUUUUCUAGGUCUCCAGGGCUAUUUUGGCGACGGGAAACCCCCACGUGAAGUGUCCUCACUUUGCAACCCAGAUUCUCUUUAGGGACCUGAGCUGUCCAAGAAACCAAAACAUCUGGACAUUUUAAAAGCCAUAGAUGAUCCACUUGAAUGCUUUGCGCAGAAGCACGAGUAGUACACGAGUGGACGAAUAGAUGUCCAUUCAGCGAGACGCGUGAAUUAGCCUACAAACAAAGGGAAAUGCAGAACAAAGCUCUUUCUCGUUAGGGUUGCGGGUGUAAACUUAUCUUGCAUAAACUUGUCUUGGAAGAUUAUAUACCGGUAAAUUAACGUAUUUAAAUGUUUCACUCAAGUCCGAGAAGAACGAGAACAACACAUUAGAUUUGCGCAGGGUAAAUACUCAUGAUAAUGGCCAAUUUCUUUUAUUAAAACAAGAUGUAUAAGCCUACUUUGGGGAAACGAAUGACUAAAUAUAUAUCCUAUAGGGAAAUAAGAAGGAGAGCCAACAAUAUAAGUGAAAUUCAACAAUGUGCUUUAGUAACGACGGUGUAACGGCUGUCGUUGGUGGAAGAAGGUGAGGACCAAGGUGCAGCGUGGUAAGUGUUCAUCUUUUUU
Molecule: long non-coding RNA, 1209 nt
Organism: Oncorhynchus kisutch (coho salmon)
Lineage: Eukaryota; Metazoa; Chordata; Actinopteri; Salmoniformes; Salmonidae
Exons: 3
Source: RefSeq, a predicted model, not a curated record